AAGGGAGACCUAAUUCGGGUAGAAGACGAAAAAAUAGUAGUCGAAACCAAGAAUCAAUCCCAAAAGGUCGGAACGAGGUAUGUGGCUUUCAAACUAGGUUCUGGGUUCACAAAAGACCUGAAUCAGGAACAAGGGCUAUUAGCUCAGGUGGUUAGAGCGCACCCCUGAUAAGGGUGAGGUCCCUGGUUCGAGUCCAGGAUGGCCCACCUGCACAGGUGGCAAAAACAAGAGAAACGAGGAAUCAGCACCUUAUCUUACCUACAUAGUAAGAGAGAAUGCUGGCUCUGAGUAAAGAGUCCAGAGGAACCUUGAAAACUGCAUAGAGCUAGGUGAAAAAGCCAAAAAAGAAGACCGCAA
This 357-nucleotide transfer RNA is filed under the name uncultured Microcystis sp. Its description in RNAcentral is "partial 16S-23S ribosomal RNA intergenic spacer". The stretch from base 133 to 206 matches the Rfam family "tRNA". Lineage: Bacteria; Bacillati; Cyanobacteriota; Cyanophyceae; Chroococcales; Microcystaceae. The record is from RNAcentral.